GUCAAAGGAGACAAACGCCCAAUGGAGGUUGCCUGCAUACCCGAGAGAAUUCUCGAUGACGCCGCUUUCAAUUCUGAGAAUGAAUUUGAUUCCUCCGUGGUAGAAAUCUAACGGCUCAAGCCUGAACCACGAACUGAUGCCCGGGCGAUUAUCGUCCCCGGGGUACGUGUCGUCUCCGAGCCGGUGAAUGACGAGCUUGCUGUAGCGAAACUUGUCGAACGGUCGCUCGCGGCCGUCACCGCGGCGAGCCCGCUCGCGUUGGAUUUCGUCCCAUGGCCUGACAAGCGCCUUCUGCAGAUCGUCUCGAAGCUUAAGAUCCCGCUUCAGUAGACGCUCUGCAUUCGACGGCAGUGUGCUCGCCUUCGCGGCUUUCCCGACCUGAUGGUGUGCGUUCUGCUCUGCAGCAU
RNAcentral lists this unclassified non-coding RNA (407 nucleotides) under plant metagenome. Its description in RNAcentral is "partial contains 5.8S ribosomal RNA, internal transcribed spacer 2, and large subunit ribosomal RNA". The record is from RNAcentral.